Molecule: ribosomal RNA, 446 nt
Filed under: Neisseria pharyngis
Lineage: Bacteria; Pseudomonadati; Pseudomonadota; Betaproteobacteria; Neisseriales; Neisseriaceae
Description: bacterial SSU rRNA
Rfam family: Bacterial small subunit ribosomal RNA
Source: RNAcentral
AUUGAACGCUGGCGGCAUGCUUUACACAUGCAAGUCGGACGGCAGCACAGAGAAGCUUGCUUCUUGGGUGGCGAGUGGCGAACGGGUGAGUAACAUAUCGGAACGUACCGAGCAGUGGGGGAUAACUAAUCGAAAGAUUAGCUAAUACCGCAUAUAUUCUGAGGAAGAAAGCAGGGGACCAUUUGGCCUUGCGCUGUUUGAGCGGCCGAUAUCUGAUUAGCUGGUUGGUGGGGUAAAGGCCUACCAAGGCGACGAUCAGUAGCGGGUCUGAGAGGAUGAUCCGCCACACUGGGACUGAGACACGGCCCAGACUCCUACGGGAGGCAGCAGUGGGGAAUUCUUGGACAAUGGGCGCAAGCCUGAUCCAGCCAUGCCGCGUGUCUGAAGAAGGCCUUCGGGUUGUAAAGGACUUUUGUCAGGGAAGAAAAGGAUAGGGUUAAUACCCC